This is a small nucleolar RNA of Grammomys surdaster, 142 nucleotides long. RefSeq annotates it as small nucleolar RNA SNORA48. The record is from RefSeq and is a predicted model, not a curated record. The transcript has a single exon. NCBI's taxonomy places the organism in Eukaryota, Metazoa, Chordata, Mammalia, Rodentia, Muridae.
UGCUCCCUGGCAAUGGACAAACAGACAUCUUGUUGGUGGUGUUUUUCUAUUAGUCAGGGUCAGAGCAGUUGGCAGUUUUUUGUUCAUCCUAGUUUGAUGCCCGUCUUGGUGGUCAAACUUGUUUUAUGCCUAGGACUCAUAA